RNAcentral lists this ribosomal RNA (441 nucleotides) under uncultured bacterium. Its description in RNAcentral is "partial 16S ribosomal RNA". It matches the Rfam family "Bacterial small subunit ribosomal RNA", at positions 338 to 795 of the family's 1533-position model. The record is from RNAcentral.
CCUACGGGGGGCAGCAGUGGGGAAUAUUGCACAAUGGGGGAAACCCUGAUGCAGCGACGCCGCGUGAGCGAUGAAGUAUUUCGGUAUGUAAAGCCCUAUCGGCAGGGAAGAAGCAAGACGGUACCUGACUAAGAAGCCCCGGCUAACUACGUGCCAGCAGCCGCGGUAAUACGGAGGGGGCGAGCGUUAUCCGGAUUCACUGGGGGUAAAGGGAGCGUAGACGGCCAUGCAAGCCAGGGGUGAAAGCCCGGGGCCCAACCCCGGGACUGCCCUUGGAACUGCAUGGCUGGAGUGCGGGAGGGGCAGGCGGAAUUCCUGGUGUAGCGGUGAAAUGCGUAGAUAUCAGGAGGAACACCGGCGGCGAAGGCGGCCUGCUGGACCGCGACUGACGUUGAGGCUCGAAAGCGUGGGGAGCGAACAGGAUUAGAUACCCUUGUAGUC